This is an RNA transcript of Mus musculus (house mouse), 1351 nucleotides long. It is a transcript of the gene named predicted gene 7233, with no coding region annotated. The record is from RefSeq and is marked validated. NCBI's taxonomy places the organism in Eukaryota, Metazoa, Chordata, Mammalia, Rodentia, Muridae. The transcript has 4 exons.
GAGAGAACUAGAAUCUUUUCUGACGUCACCUGUGUUGUGGUUACAAAAGCUGCUUGUGGGAUAUUCCUUCAGUGCCUUUUGCGUUCUCAAUCAGGCAUGUUUUCCUGGCUGCGCAGGCUAUUUCACAGGGAGAAUGGCGAUCAAGGAGAGACAAGACCAAGGGAGAAGGAAUCUGCCAUCCCUUCUUGUAAAAACAGAAGAAUGAAAUCAUUCUGGGGAAGGCACAGUGAGUCCUGGGCAGAGUUGGAGAAUUUUCUGGAACAGUGUCUGCUGGGAAAACAUCAUCCCAAAAUUGCAACAUCACUAAUCAUAUGAAGAAUAUGAAUAAACUAGACGAUAUGAAAUUUUAUAUCAGAAAGAUAAAUGCUGAGAGGUUAGAACUUUUUCGAAUCUUGGACAUUGACAUGAAUACUGAUUUGAACUACAGGAUGAACACUGAAUUCACCAUCAUUAAAUCACAACAUGAGAAGACAAUGUUGGAUAUGGAAAAAAUGACACAGUCAAUAAGUGAUACCAUUGAGAAGUACAAGGAAUUCAUAGAAGAUAAGGAUUCCUACAGGUGUGAAAUACUCCAGCAGAAACUGGAACAUGGAACAGACCAGGACAAGGUCUCCUUUGAAGAUAACAUCUAUAGGGGGAUCUCUGCGUGUGCGAAGCAAAUACUUCAUCUCAUCCCCAGUCAUCAUGGCUAUCAUCUGCUGCAUUUUCUUCCUUUACUUUUCUUUCCUUGCAAUGAAUAGCCCUUAAUUUCAUCUGGGCUCUGGCUCAGCAAGAGUGAGCAUGUAGAGGGAUUUAGACAUGUGCUGAGACACAUCAAGAGCUACUGGGAAAACAGGAAGAUUCUGAGAGUGUAAAUUUUUCUUGUCCUGAUAGGUCAUCAAGGAAAAUUAGAAAAUCAUUCUACAAAAUCACAAAGACUUUGAGCUAAAUUCUGUAACAUGUUUUCUGCUUAGUCUUGGAUGUCCAUAUUCUUCAAAACCAUACUCCAAAAAAGGAGACCUACUUACAUUCCUCUUGUAAAGAUUGUUACCAGAAGUAACUUAUUUUCUACUGUGUUGCCAAAGACAGCCAUGGGCUGUAAGUCUGUGCUGCUAAAUAACAGCCAAAGAAGGCUCUUUAGCACAAUUCUUGUUUUUAGAUUUUGGUUUGAGCUUUGAUUACUUUUGUUCUUUGGUUUUCUUUAGUUUCAUUAGAAGUUUUUUUGUUUCUUUGUUUGUUUCUUUGGUGUUGUUUGGUUUUGUAAUUGAUUUAAUAUUUUGAUAAGACUAUACACUGUACAUAUUGACUGCCCACUUUUAGUUACUAUUGAGUAAAUUGGAUGUAUUCUUGUGAAUAAAACAGUGAUCUCUAA